GACGAACGCUGGCGGCGUGCCUAAUACAUGCAAGUAGAACGCACAGGUUAUACCCUAGCUUGCUACACCAUAUACUGUGAGUUGCGAACGGGUGAGUGACGCGUACGUAACCUGCCUGGUAGCGGGGGAUAACGAUUGUAAACGUUAUCUAAUACCGCAUAAUAUUAAUUAUUGCAGGAUAAUUAAUUGAAAUGUGCAAUUGCACCACUACCAGAUGGGCCUGCGUUGUAUUAGCUAGUAGGUGAGGUAACGGCUCACCUAGGCGAGGAUACAUAGCCGACCGGAGAGGGUGGUCGGCCGCACAGGGAGGGAGACAGGGACCAGACUCCUACGGGAGGCAGCAGUAGGGAAUCUUCGGAGAUGGACGAAAGUCUGACCGAGCAACGCCGAGUGAGUGAAGAAGGUUGUCGGAUCGUAAAGAUCCGUCGUACGCGAAGAAAGGGUGUGAGAGUGGAAAGUUCACAGUGUGACGGUAGCUGAACAGAAAGGGACGGCUAACUACGUG
This 505-nucleotide ribosomal RNA is filed under the name uncultured bacterium. RNAcentral describes it as "partial 16S ribosomal RNA". It matches the Rfam family "Bacterial small subunit ribosomal RNA", at positions 28 to 507 of the family's 1533-position model. The record is from RNAcentral.